RNAcentral lists this ribosomal RNA (422 nucleotides) under uncultured bacterium. RNAcentral describes it as "bacterial SSU rRNA". It matches the Rfam family "Bacterial small subunit ribosomal RNA", at positions 358 to 772 of the family's 1533-position model. The record is from RNAcentral.
GGAAUAUUGGACAAUGGGCGAAAGCCUGAUCCAGCGACGCCGCGUGGGUGAAGAAGGCCUGCGGGUUGUAAAGCCCUUUCGUUAGGGAAGAAAAGCCUCGACCUAACACGUCGGGGUAUUGACGUAACCUACUAAAGAAGCACCGGCUAACUCUGUGCCAGCAGCCGCGGUAAUACAGAGGGUGCGAGCGUUAAUCGGAAUUACUGGGCGUAAAGCGCGCGUAGGCGGCUUUGCAAGUCGGGUGUGAAAUCCCCAGGCUUAACCUGGGAACUGCACUCGAGACUGCAUUGCUAGAGUAUGGGAGAGGGAAGUGGAAUUUCCGGUGUAGCGGUGAAAUGCGUAGAUAUCGGAAGGAACAUCAGUGGCGAAAGCGACUUCCUGGACCAAUACUGACGCUCAUGUGCGAAAGCGUGGGGAGCAAA